Molecule: ribosomal RNA, 489 nt
Filed under: uncultured bacterium
Lineage: Bacteria
Description: bacterial SSU rRNA
Rfam family: Bacterial small subunit ribosomal RNA
Source: RNAcentral
GAGUUUGAUCCUGGCUCAGGAUGAACGCUGGCGGCGUGCCUAACACAUGCGAGUCGAGCGAUUUACUUCGGUAAAGAGCGGCGGACGGGUGAGUAACGCGUGGGUAACCUGCCUCAUACACAUGGAUAACAUACCGAAAGGUAUGCUAAUACAGGAUGAUAUAAGAGAUUCACAUGGAUUUUUUAUCAAAGCUCCGGCGGUAUGAGAUGGACCCGCGUCUGAUUAGCUAGUUGGUAAGGUAAUGGCUUACCAAGGCGACGAUCAGUAGCCGACUGAGAGGGUGAUCGGCCACAUUGGAACUGAGACACGGUCCAAACUCCUACGGGAGGCAGCAGUGGGGAAUAUUGCACAAUGGGCGAAAGCCUGAUGCAGCAACGCCGCGUGAGUGAUGAAGGCCUUCGGGUCGUAAAACUCUGUCCUCAAGGAAGAUAAUGACGGUACUUGAGGAGGAAGCCCCGGCUAACUACGUGCCAGCAGCCGCGGUAAUAC